This 205-nucleotide long non-coding RNA is filed under the name Elaeis guineensis (African oil palm). RNAcentral's name for it is "long non-coding RNA (EGUI_LNC070439)". The record is from RNAcentral. Lineage: Eukaryota; Viridiplantae; Streptophyta; Magnoliopsida; Arecales; Arecaceae.
GCCGGCCAUGGGGAUGCUCUUCACCAUGAUUUGCAUCUUGGACUCUAAAGAUUUCUUUCCUCAGAGUUGGAGAAGACCUUCAGCAGUAAGAGGAGAAGAAUUGGUGGAGAAUGGAUUGAAGAAAGUAGGUUUGGAAGAGGUUGGAAGGUGGAAGAGGGUUGUUAAAAUUUUAGGCUACAGUCUACAGGGCUGGAAAGAGAGAAAG